GCACCUUUAGCUCAGUUGGUAGAGCAACUGACUCUUAAUCAGUGGGUCCUGGGUUCGAGUCCCCGAAGGUGCACCA
RNAcentral lists this transfer RNA (76 nucleotides) under Bacillota bacterium. RNAcentral's name for it is "tRNA-Lys". It matches the Rfam family "tRNA". From Rfam's summary of the family: Transfer RNA (tRNA) molecules are approximately 80 nucleotides in length. RNAcentral also lists the same sequence under 2 other names. The record is from RNAcentral. Lineage: Bacteria; Bacillati; Bacillota.